This 770-nucleotide long non-coding RNA is filed under the name Homo sapiens (human). Its description in RNAcentral is "HSALNT0212726". Lineage: Eukaryota; Metazoa; Chordata; Mammalia; Primates; Hominidae. The record is from RNAcentral.
GGCAAUGCUUCCCUGUCUCCUUCUGUACUGUGGAAGCUUUGCUCUUUUACUCUGCAAUAAAUCUUGCUGCUGCUAACUGUUUGGGUCCACGCUACCUCUAUAAGCUGUAACACUCACCAUAAAGGUCUUACAGCUUCAUUCCUGAAGCCAGUGAGACCACGAACCCAGCAGGAGGAACGAACAACUCCAGACGCGCUGCCUUAAGAGCUGUUAACACUCACCGCAAGGUCUGCAGCUUCACUCCUGAAGCCAGAGAGACCACGAACCCAGCAGGAGGAAUGAACAACUCCAGAUGCGCCGCCUUAAGAGCUGUAACGCUCACCGCGAAGGUCUGCAGCCUCACUCCUGAGCCAGCGAGACCACGAACCCACCAGAAGGAAGAAACUCCGAACACAUCCGAACCUCGGAAGGAAGAAACUCCAAACACAUCCAAACAUCAGAAGGAACAAACUCUGCACACACCGCCUUUAAGAACUGUAACACUCACCACCAGGGUUCGCGGCUUCAUUCUUGAAGUCAGUGAGACCAAGAAGCCACCAAUUCCGGACACAAUAUGAAAUGUGAAAUGUAAGAUCAUCUGAAGGAGAGCUUUGGUUCAAGUCAAAUGCAUGCCUCAACCUAGCAGAGCCAAAGAGAUACUUGUAUGAUCAUCAUAUCGGAUUUGAGAAAACUCACGAAGACCAAAAGAACCUCCAACAAUCAGCAACUAAAACAAAGAAAGGAAACAUUUAAGCAAAACAGAAGACCAGAAUUCAAAUUCAGCCUAUCUA